This 332-nucleotide unclassified non-coding RNA is filed under the name soil metagenome. Its description in RNAcentral is "partial contains 5.8S ribosomal RNA, internal transcribed spacer 2, and large subunit ribosomal RNA". The stretch from base 1 to 120 matches the Rfam family "5.8S ribosomal RNA", at positions 35 to 154 of the family's 154-position model. The record is from RNAcentral.
GAUGAAGAACGUAGCAAAAUGCGAUAAGUAAUGUGAAUUGCAGAAUUCAGUGAAUCAUCGAAUCUUUGAACGCACAUUGCGCCCGCCAGUACUCUGGCGGGCAUGCCUGUUCGAGCGUCAUUUCAACCCUCAAGCACAGCUUGGUGUUGGGACUCGCGUUAAUUCGCGUUCCCCAAAUUGAUUGGCGGUCACGUCGAGCUUCCAUAGCGUAGUAGUAAAACCCUCGUUACUGGUAAUCGUCGCGGCCACGCCGUUAAACCCCAACUUCUGAAUGUUGACCUCGGAUCAGGUAGGAAUACCCGCUGAACUUAAGCAUAUCAAUAAGCGGAGGA